This 2899-nucleotide ribosomal RNA is filed under the name Proteus mirabilis. Its description in RNAcentral is "23S ribosomal RNA". It matches the Rfam family "Bacterial large subunit ribosomal RNA". The record is from RNAcentral. Lineage: Bacteria; Pseudomonadati; Pseudomonadota; Gammaproteobacteria; Enterobacterales; Morganellaceae.
UUAAGCGAAUAAGCGUACACGGUGGAUGCCUAGGCAAUCAGAGGCGAUGAAGGACGUGCUAAUCUGCGAAAAGCGUCGGUAAGGUGAUAUGAACCGUUAUACCCGACGAUAUCCGAAUGGGGAAACCCAGUAUCCAAUGGAUACUAUCAUUAACUGAAUCCAUAGGUUAAUGAGGCGAACCGGGAGAACUGAAACAUCUCAGUACCCCGAGGAAAAGAAAUCAACCGAGAUUCCCCUAGUAGCGGCGAGCGAACGGGGAGCAGCCCAGAGUCUUAAUCAAUAGCAGUGUCAGGAGAACGGUCUGGAAAGUCCGGCAGUAAAGGGUGAUAGCCCCGUAUCUGAAGAUGCUGUUAUUGUGAACUCGAUGAGUAGGGCGGGACACGUGUUAUCCUGUCUGAAUAUGGGGGGACCAUCCUCCAAGGCUAAAUACUCCUGAUUGACCGAUAGUGAACCAGUACCGUGAGGGAAAGGCGAAAAGAACCCCGGCGAGGGGAGUGAAAAAGAACCUGAAACCGUGUACGUACAAGCAGUAGGAGCCUCUUUAUGGGGUGACUGCGUACCUUUUGUAUAAUGGGUCAGCGACUUAUAUUCUGUAGCGAGGUUAACCGUAUAGGGGAGCCGUAGGGAAACCGAGUCUUAACUGGGCGAAUGAGUUGCAGGGUAUAGACCCGAAACCCGGUGAUCUAUCCAUGGGCAGGUUGAAGGUUGGGUAACACUAACUGGAGGACCGAACCGACUAAUGUUGAAAAAUUAGCGGAUGACUUGUGGAUGGGGGUGAAAGGCCAAUCAAACCGGGAGAUAGCUGGUUCUCCCCGAAAGCUAUUUAGGUAGCGCCUCGUGAAUUCAUCUUCGGGGGUAGAGCACUGUUUCGACUAGGGGGUCAUCCCGACUUACCAACUCGAUGCAAACUGCGAAUACCGAAGAAUGUUAUCACGGGAGACACACGGCGGGUGCUAACGUCCGUCGUGAAGAGGGAAACAACCCAGACCGCCAGCUAAGGUCCCAAAGUCAUGGUUAAGUGGGAAACGAAGUGGGAAGGCUCAGACAGCCAGGAUGUUGGCUUAGAAGCAGCCAUCAUUUAAAGAAAGCGUAAUAGCUCACUGGUCGAGUCGGCCCGCGCGGAAGAUGUAACGGGGCUAAACCAUGCACCGAAGCUGCGGCAGCGACACAUAGUGUUGUUGGGUAGGGGAGCGUUCUGUAAGCCUGCGAAGGUGUACUGUGAGGUAUGCUGGAGGUAUCAGAAGUGCGAAUGCUGACAUAAGUAACGAUAAUGCGGGUGAAAAACCCGCACGCCGGAAGACCAAGGGUUCCUGUCCAACGUUAAUCGGGGCAGGGUGAGUCGACCCCUAAGGCGAGGCUGAAAAGCGUAGUCGAUGGGAAACGGGUUAAUAUUCCCGUACUGGUGGUAACUGCGAUGGGGGAACGGAGAAGGCUAGGUUGUCCGGGCGACGGUCGUCCCGGUUCAAGCAGGUAGGCAGAGUGAUUAGGCAAAUCCGGUUACUUAAUGCUGAGAUGUGAUGACGAACCACUAAGGUGGUGAAGCAAUUGAUGCCCCGCUUCCAGGAAAAGCCUCUAAGCUUCAGGUUACCAACAAUCGUACCCCAAACCGACACAGGUGGUCAGGUAGAGAAUACUCAGGCGCUUGAGAGAACUCGGGUGAAGGAACUAGGCAAAAUGGUGCCGUAACUUCGGGAGAAGGCACGCUGGCGGUAGGUAAAGUCCCUUGCGGACGGCGCUGAAGCCAGUCGAAGAUACCAGCUGGCUGCAACUGUUUAUUAAAAACACAGCACUGUGCAAACACGAAAGUGGACGUAUACGGUGUGACGCCUGCCCGGUGCUGGAAGGUUAAUUGAUGGGGUUAGCGUAAGCGAAGCUCCUGAUCGAAGCCCCAGUAAACGGCGGCCGUAACUAUAACGGUCCUAAGGUAGCGAAAUUCCUUGUCGGGUAAGUUCCGACCUGCACGAAUGGCGUAAUGAUGGCCAGGCUGUCUCCACCCGAGACUCAGUGAAAUUGAACUCGCUGUGAAGAUGCAGUGUACCCGCGGCAAGACGGAAAGACCCCGUGAACCUUUACUAUAGCUUGACACUGAACAUUGAGCCUUGAUGUGUAGGAUAGGUGGGAGGCUUUGAAGUGUGGACGCCAGUCUGCAUGGAGCCAACCUUGAAAUACCACCCUUUAACGUUUGAUGUUCUAACCUAGGCCCAUAAACUGGGUCGGGGACCGUGUCUGGUGGGUAGUUUGACUGGGGCGGUCUCCUCCUAAAGAGUAACGGAGGAGCACGAAGGUUGGCUAAGCAUGGUCGGACAUCAUGCGGUUAGUGCAAAGGCAUAAGCCAGCUUGACUGCGAGAGUGACGGCUCGAGCAGGUACGAAAGUAGGUCUUAGUGAUCCGGUGGUUCUGAAUGGAAGGGCCAUCGCUCAACGGAUAAAAGGUACUCCGGGGAUAACAGGCUGAUACCGCCCAAGAGUUCAUAUCGACGGCGGUGUUUGGCACCUCGAUGUCGGCUCAUCACAUCCUGGGGCUGAAGUAGGUCCCAAGGGUAUGGCUGUUCGCCAUUUAAAGUGGUACGCGAGCUGGGUUUAGAACGUCGUGAGACAGUUCGGUCCCUAUCUGCCGUGGGCGUUGGAAGAUUGAGAGGGGUUGCUCCUAGUACGAGAGGACCGGAGUGAACGCACCACUGGUGUUCGGGUUGUCAUGCCAAUGGCAUUGCCCGGUAGCUAAGUGCGGAAGAGAUAACCGCUGAAAGCAUCUAAGCGGGAAACUUGCCUCGAGAUGAGUCUUCCCUGUCACUUUAAGUGACCUAAAGGAACGUUUAAGACUAAGACGUUGAUAGGCUGGGUGUGUAAGCGUAGCGAUACGUUGAGCUAACCAGUACUAAUGAACCGUGAGGCUUAACCUG